Small nuclear RNA from Nomascus leucogenys (northern white-cheeked gibbon), 127 nucleotides. Lineage: Eukaryota; Metazoa; Chordata; Mammalia; Primates; Hylobatidae. The record is from Ensembl.
GUGAGUGUUGAAAGGAGAGACUGGUUAGCACUCCCCUUGACAAGGAUGGAAGAGGCCCUCAGGCCUAACAACUAACAUGCAGUUAAGACAUUUCCACCUAUUUUGUGGCAUCUAAAGCAUCAUUUUU